This 460-nucleotide ribosomal RNA is filed under the name uncultured bacterium. RNAcentral describes it as "partial 16S ribosomal RNA". It matches the Rfam family "Bacterial small subunit ribosomal RNA", at positions 338 to 795 of the family's 1533-position model. The record is from RNAcentral.
CCUACGGGUGGCAGCAGUGAGGAAUAUUGCACAAUGGCCGUAAGGCUGAACCAGCCAAGCCGCGUGUAGGAAGAAGGAUCUCUGGUUUGUAAACUUCUUUUAUAGGGGGGUAGAGGUAUCCAUGUAUGGCUCUUUGCAUGUACCCUAUGAAUAAACAUCGGCUAACUCCGCGCCAGCAGCCGCGGUAAUACGGAGGAUGCGAGCGUUAUCCGGAUUUAUUGGGUUUAAAGGGUGCGUAGGAUGUUUUGUAAGUCAGCGGUGAAAGUUUGAGGCUCAACCAUAAAAUUGCCGUUGAAACUGGAAGACUUGAGUGUGUUUGAGGUAGGCGGAAUGCGUGGUGUAGCGGUGAAAUGCAUAGAUAUCACGCAGAACUCCGAUGGCGAAGGCAGCUUACUAAGCCAUAACUGACACUGAAGCACGAAAGCGUGGGGAGCAAACAGGAUUAGAUACCCCUGUAGUC